RNAcentral lists this ribosomal RNA (514 nucleotides) under uncultured bacterium. Its description in RNAcentral is "partial 16S ribosomal RNA". It matches the Rfam family "Bacterial small subunit ribosomal RNA", at positions 28 to 523 of the family's 1533-position model. The record is from RNAcentral.
GAUGAACGCUGGCGGCGUGCCUAAUACAUGCAAGUCGAGCGAACAGAUGAGAAGCUUGCUUCUCUGAUGUUAGCGGCGGACGGGUGAGUAACACGUGGGUAACCUACCUAUAAGACUGGGAUAACUCCGGGAAACCGGGGCUAAUACCGGAUAAUAUUUUGAACCGCAUGGUUCGAUAGUGAAAGACGGUUUCGGCUGUCACUUAUAGAUGGACCCGCGCCGUAUUAGCUAGUUGGUAAGGUAACGGCUUACCAAGGCGACGAUACGUAGCCGAGCUGAGAGGGUGAGCGGCCACACGGGAACUGAGACACGGUCCUGACUCCUACGGGAGGCAGCAGUAGGGAAUCUUCCGCAAUGGGCGAAAGCCUGACGGAGCAACGCCGCGUGAGUGAUGAAGGACUUCGGAUCGUAAAACUCUGUUGUGAGGGAAGAACAAAUUUGUUAGUAACUGAACAAGUCUUGACGGUACCUAACCAGAAAGCCACGGCUAACUACGUGCCAGCCGCCGCCGUAA